This 253-nucleotide ribosomal RNA is filed under the name uncultured bacterium. RNAcentral describes it as "partial 16S ribosomal RNA". It matches the Rfam family "Bacterial small subunit ribosomal RNA", at positions 524 to 776 of the family's 1533-position model. The record is from RNAcentral.
GACAGAGGGUGCAAACGUUGUUCGGAAUUACUGGGCGUAAAGCGAGUGUAGGCGGUUUGGUAAGUCGGAUGUGAAAGCCCCGGGCUCAACCCGGGAAGUGCACUCGAUACUGCCAAGCUAGAGUAUCGGAGAGGUCGGUGGAAUUCUCGGUGUAGAGGUGAAAUUCGUAGAUAUCGAGAGGAACACCGGUGGCGAAGGCGGCCAACUGGACGAAUACUGACGCUGAGACUCGAAAGCGUGGGGAGCAAACAGG